CUGAGAAUGAAGAGAAGGGAGGGCCCAUAAGUUAAAAAACAAGGAGUUGGUAGAAAGAUUUGUGGUUAAUUGCUGACAAAUAGUACCCUAUAUAUUAUUCCACAUGCAGUUUUUGCAACUGUGUUGUAACUAAUUCUAAAAGCAAAAGCAAAAUGAAAAUUGAAAUUUAAAAAAGGUAUCUUUAUCAAACAUCAGAUAAUCCUUUUCUUGAAUGAAAGGUCUAUUACUGUGAAUGUCAACCCUGAUUUCUCCCUGUUUUUCUAUCAGACAAAAAUCCCAGUCAGUGUCAGCCUAACUGUAUGCAGUUCUCCUCCCGUUCCCUCAUGGCCAGGCCUGCUGUGCAGUACUCCAGCUGAAGUUCAGUCAUGGUCUCCUGCUGGCUGGCACUGGAGAACAGGCUACAGGCAGCAGCUGCUGGUUUGACAGCCAGUUCUGUUCAAGGAGAUGAUUCUGUGAGACUCCUUAGAAGUGCAUGAAUUCUAGACCAAAUGAAUGUGAUGAAAAUCCAAACAGGGACACAAGAACAGGUUACUGGUGAAGAAACUGGUGAAGAAAACCUCAAACCAGGAAAAGCACUGGAGUUCUAAACCACCAGAAACAGUCACAUUUACUGAGAUAUGACAGGAAAGGUACAGAAGAAAAUCUUACAGAUUUUGUUCUUGAGAGAAACAUAGGAAUUGGUCUUCUGGUCAUUUUAACUGAGUUUAAAAAUUAAUAUUUGUAAUACAGCAAUACUUCCACUUCAGCAUAUGCCAAAAUACAUGGCCCAUUCAUGCCAAAUGACUUUUUGUUCCUCCUUCCUUUCUGAUAAUGAUUUGUUAUAAGUUCAACUAACAUCAGUUCUUGCAUAUAGGUACUGUGACUAGAGUGAAGAGCAUUUGAGUAUCUUUAGUAUUGCAACUAUUAAGAAAAAAGAAAUCAAAAUCCUAAAAGACUGGCUUUAAAAUUAAAUUUAGAAAAAUACAUGAAUUUGGGGAUUGCACUUUCUCUGUGUUAUUUGACACUUGGGUGCUGGUUUCUUCAAGCUUUACUGCAUAAUGUUUUUAAACUAGCUGUAAAUGUAAAACAAGUGAAAAAAUAAAUCUGAAAUAUUCACAGAAUCCCA
RNAcentral lists this long non-coding RNA (1105 nucleotides) under Cyanistes caeruleus (blue tit). RNAcentral's name for it is "lncRNA (ENSCCEG00000010240.1)". Lineage: Eukaryota; Metazoa; Chordata; Aves; Passeriformes; Paridae. The record is from RNAcentral.